This 245-nucleotide unclassified non-coding RNA is filed under the name plant metagenome. RNAcentral's name for it is "partial contains small subunit ribosomal RNA, internal transcribed spacer 1, and 5.8S ribosomal RNA". The record is from RNAcentral.
UCUCCGUUGGUGAACCAGCGGAGGGAUCAUUACCGAGUUUACAACUCCCAAACCCAAUGUGAACGUUACCACACUGUUGCCUCGGCGGGGUCACGCCCCGGGUGCGUAGCAGCCCCGGAACCAGGCGCCCGCCGGAGGAACCAACCAAACUCUUUCUGUAGUCCCCUCGCGGACGUUAUUUCUUACAGCUCUGAGCAAAAAUUCAAAAUGAAUCAAAACUUUCAACAACGGAUCUCUUGGUUCUG